CGUAGGGGGCAAGCGUUAUCCGGAUUUAUUGGGCGUAAAGAGCUCGUAGGCGGCCGUUCACGUCGGAUGUGAAAGCUCGGGGCUCAACCCCGAGAUGCCAUUCGAUACGGGACGGCUAGAGGUAGGCAGGGGAAAGUGGAAUUCCUGGUGUAGCGGUGAAAUGCGCAGAUAUCAGGAGGAACACCGGUGGCGAAGGCGGCUUUCUGGGCCUUACCUGACGCUGAGGAGCGAAAGCUGGGGGAGCAAACAGGAUUAGAUACCCUGGUAGUCCCAGCCGUAAACGUUGAGUGCUAGGUGUGGGGAGGUCUUCAACCCUUUCCGUGCCGAAGCUAACGCAUUAAGCACUCCGCCUGGGGAGUACGGUCGCAAGACUA
RNAcentral lists this ribosomal RNA (374 nucleotides) under uncultured organism. RNAcentral's name for it is "bacterial SSU rRNA". It matches the Rfam family "Bacterial small subunit ribosomal RNA", at positions 526 to 896 of the family's 1533-position model. The record is from RNAcentral.